CAAUAGCGUAUAUUUAAGUUGUUGCAGUUAAAAAGCUCGUAGUUGGAUUUCUGCUGAUCGCUGUCGGUCUGCCGUCAGGUGUGUACUGGCAGUGUUUGGCAUCUAUUCGGGAUUGGGUGUCCACUUGAUUGUGUGCACUCGAUGUCGGAGCUAAUACUUUGAGAAAAUUAGAGUGUUCCACGCAGGCGCGUGCCUUGAAUACUGCAGCAUGGGAUAUUGGAAGGCCGAUUGAGCUUUCUUGUUGGUUCUCGGUUUGAUCGGAAUGAUUAAUAGGGAUAGUUGGGGGCAUUCGUAUUCAACUGUCAGAGGUGAAAUUCUUGGAUUUGUUGAAGACGGACUACUGCGAAAGCAUCUGCCAUGGAUGUUCUCAUUGA
RNAcentral lists this ribosomal RNA (374 nucleotides) under uncultured eukaryote. RNAcentral describes it as "partial 18S ribosomal RNA". It matches the Rfam family "Eukaryotic small subunit ribosomal RNA", at positions 592 to 976 of the family's 1831-position model. The record is from RNAcentral.